AUAACAUGAUGACUUGCCAUGCUAAUACUGAGAAAUCUAUAGGAUUUAAUCCAUAGGAUUUCGCUGAGUUGAAACCAUUCUCUUGGUACUGAUAUUU
RNAcentral lists this small nucleolar RNA (97 nucleotides) under Polistes fuscatus (common paper wasp). Lineage: Eukaryota; Metazoa; Arthropoda; Insecta; Hymenoptera; Vespidae. The record is from RNAcentral.